This is a ribosomal RNA of Apteryx rowi (Okarito brown kiwi), 132 nucleotides long. The record is from Ensembl. Lineage: Eukaryota; Metazoa; Chordata; Aves; Apterygiformes; Apterygidae.
UGCUGCGCUCAUUUUGCCUACAGUCAUCCCACCUUGGCAAGGAUGUUUGCAAAAGCUCAUAAGCCAAGCAUAGUCAAGCCUAGUUAGUAUAUAGAUGGGUAAUCUCCAAGGAAAACCUAGCUACCGCAGGAA